UCCAUCAAAUGAUUUAUUAGGAAAAUAAUGCAAAGAUAAUUGGCUUAUAAUUUCAUUUUUCAAAAUUCAAACUCUUGCUCCAUUUAGUCUUGAACAGUGAAAGUUCAAUCUUAAGUUGGAAAAAUUCCUACAUUGUUUUAAAAUGACAUCCUUGUUCUAAUGCAUUCCAAUGACUUUUAGCCAUUUAUGUAUCCUUCUAGCAUCAGUUAUGUAAAACCCGCAUUAAUUGAAUGAAAG
RNAcentral lists this unclassified non-coding RNA (237 nucleotides) under Hevea brasiliensis (rubber tree). Lineage: Eukaryota; Viridiplantae; Streptophyta; Magnoliopsida; Malpighiales; Euphorbiaceae. The record is from RNAcentral.